GGGUGAUUGGGCGACCGAAUAAAUAAGUCCUUUGGAAAGGGGCAACAUAGAGGGUGACAUUCCCGUCUUUGGUUCGAGUCAGUUCAAUCGCUACCCAGGAAACGACGAGUCAGGUUGUUUGGGAAUGCAGCCUAAAAUGGGAGGUAAAUCUCUCCUAAAGCUAAAUACUGGCGUAAGACCGAUAGCGAACAAGUACCGUGAGGGAAAGAUGAAAAGGACUUUGAAAAGAGGGUCAAAUAGUACGUGAAAUUGUUGAAAGGGAACCGUAUGAAAGUAGACUGGCUUGGUGAUGAUCAAUGUGUGUUUCGACACGCAUGCACUCAUUGCCAAUUGCCAGCCAGCGGCAGUUUUUGUUGAAGGAAGAAAAUCUUGGGAAUGUGGCUUUGACCUUGGUUGAAGUGUUAUAGCCCUUGAUAAAAUACUUUGGCAGAGACUGAGGCUAGCAGUGGGUCUUUUGGGAAGUUUGCUCGCUUGUCGCUUGAUGGUCAAGUUUUUCUUCGGAUGCUUGGUGAUUGAGAGGCAACUCGUGUGAUGCUUCACCCUCCCACUUAGGUCGCUGGCGUAAUGCUUUUAUAUGACCCGUCUUGAAACACGGACCAAGGAGUCCACGUAUAGAGCGAGUCGUUGGGUGGCAAACCCAUAGGCGAAGUGAAAGCGAUUGGGAAGAAGCUGUGAAAGGUGGCACUCCCGGGGGGAUAUGACGUUUUAUACAGAUUGACCUCACCCAAAGCUCUAUGCAUGGGACCCGAAAGAUGGUGAACUAUACUUGAAUAGGGUGAAGCCAGAGG
Molecule: ribosomal RNA, 788 nt
Filed under: Absidia anomala
Lineage: Eukaryota; Fungi; Mucoromycota; Mucoromycetes; Mucorales; Cunninghamellaceae
Description: LSU rRNA
Rfam family: Eukaryotic large subunit ribosomal RNA
Source: RNAcentral